UCACAUUCAUAUGCUCUACUGUGUAAAUGGAGAGUAGUAUUGGCUUUCCAUUUUACAAAACCCUGUAUUGAGAAAUAAGUUUGUCAGCCCAAGUAAAGAGGAAAAGAUCAAUGGAUUGCAAUAAACAGCAUUUAACAUAAAAAUGAGUGAAAUUUACAAUUCGGUUAACUUGUGAAAUGUUAAAAAAAAUCAGCAAACAAUGGACACAAUUUGUUUUGUUCAGAGCCCAGAGGUAGAGACCAAAUCCUCUAAAUUAAUUUCUGCAAAAGCUGGGGUUUUUUUCCAAACAGGUCUGGAUCCUAUUCGUUGUAGAAUAUACUGAUUACCAACUAUUUUUAAGAGCUUUACACAAACAUUAUUUCUUUUGUUGUGUGAAAUGCAGAAUCAGCCAUCUGGCAAAUGCCCCAGAGCUAAAAUCUUUUACACGACAUAUAAUUCAAAAUGAUUAAAUAUACAACAGAAAAUAGCUAUAGCAUUGCACUUAAAAUAGCAUGAACUUUUACUGCCGAUCAAAACUGAUUUCUUUAGCUUAACAAGUAUCCAAAGAACAAUUAUUUGAAGAGCUUUUAAGAGUUUCAAUAUGUAGGAACUAAGCCUCAUCUAAAUUCAGUAUCUUAAGUCAAAUAAAAAAGAAACAAAUGUACAAAAGAUUAAAUGGUCCUGCGUUAUAAGUAGACAUUUAAAUCUAUGGGAAGCUAAAUUCAUUUGAACAAAAAUACUAUAUUCCCUCUGUAUGUGUAUUGCUGGGGCUUUCCUCUCCAUUGCUAAGGGUAUCUGCCAAAACAACUCUCACAUUCUUAGGCAAUGACUAGGGACUAGCCUGGAAUCAGACUGUUCAUCCACUCCCUCCAUCAUCAGAAUGGGCAAUUUCAAAGAAGAACAGGGAAUAAAGCUCCGUGCAUGAUCCCUGAGUGCAGUCAAUCUUUUUUUCCUGCACCACAGUCGACUUUAAGUUAAACUUGCUGUCUUUUUUCCAGAAAUACUCCAGGCCUGAAAAAUUGCCAGCUCCUCAUCCCACACCCAAUUCUGCAGUAGUUUAUGAGAAAGAGCAAGCAAACAUCUGCAUGUGUUUGGGGUACAUAAGGGUAGGUACAGAAAUAUUACCCUGCGUAAUUAUUGAGUGGUUAUGGCUCUGUUUCUCAGCUACAUUUUUCAGACAAGUCAAAGUCUACAUCUCCCCAAAGCAAUUGGUGCAAGUCAGAUCUGAGUUGUGAGACAAAAAUAAGGGCUAAAUGUAGGUUUUUCUCAUGGAUUUGCAUACUUGGAUAAACCUGAAAUGGAUGAAUACAUCGCCGCCAACUCUCAAGAACAUUUUGCUUCUAAAUUCUUUCAGACCAAGCAUGAGAACCUUCAUCCCAAGGUAACAAUGUGAGGCAAUUGUAAGUCUGUGAUUGCUCAGGCUUCGAAUUGAAAUGGCUUUGCAACCUUGCCUGUGGAGUUGGGUCAGCCUCAACCAAGGAACCUCAGACGUUCUAAUCCCAGACUUUUCUAAACUGUAAUAAAAUAAUGUUCUUGAAUCUUGACCUUUUCAGCUCAUAAUGAUUCCCGAAGCAGCAGGAUUUUUCCUGCUGCUUUUUACAAGACUUUCAGGCUUGAAGAAAUCCUAAACUGAUUGCUGGCUCGUUUGGGAUUGCAGCAACACCAAAACCUCUCCUCUGUGUAAAAUACUUGUCCUGGUUCUCUGGGCCUAAUCCUGCUCUUAGUAACAUGCAUGUUAAUUCAGUUACCUGACUGAGCUUUUAGGGUAACAGCAGGCUUUGUGUCUUCCUGAUCUUGAUGUUAUAUGAAGAGAUGCAUAUAUUUCAGGAGGAAAUACUGACUGAAGUAUAGAAAGAUUCCCUAUGCACCGUACACACAUUAAUUAAACCUGAAGAUGGAAUAUGAAAAUAGUAGCCCAAAUAUUCUCCUAUUAGAAAGAGCAAAAGCAUAUUUUAUAUUAUUUAACUCAUUCUUUCGAAUGAGUUAACCACAGGAGAAAUAAGGCAAUUUUCAUCAGAAGCAUCUUUGCUUUUCAUCAAAGGAGAGAUGACCCAGGCAAUCUCCUAUAACCUUUUCCAUCUCAGUAUGACAAAAUUUCUCUUUCUGAUGGUAUUUUCUCUUUGAAAGCUAUGGGCUUCUCUGAUGUUUGGAAGUCCUAAAACCUGAAUGUCACAGAUUUUCUUGUACCUCCCUGCUUUGCAUUAAACAUAACCUCAUAUAUUUUCUACUUUCAGUGGAAAAUUGGGACAUCUUCCCAUCUUUCUAUUGACCAAACUCUGUUACAAAGGUGCCAGGAGUCCUAUUUCUGGAAAAGAAAUAAAGAAGUAAUAUUCCUAGUGAAACAGGAGUCUAGGCCCAGUAUCUGUUCAAAAUAAACAAGGUAUCUCCUUACAAAUGAGCAUUCACAUUCUUAUUUAUGUGUCCAAUUUUGCGUACUCCGCAAUACUGGAAGGAAAGAAAAGAUGGAAGAACACAUGGAGAAUGGAGAGAAAUUUGAGCAUCCCUGAGGAAACAGAGGUUUAGGGACGGGGCAAUAACUGCAAGAUUGUGAUGAGAUUUUGGAAAACUUUGCUAGAUAAAAACGUAGAACAAAACUGUUGCUGUCAUUUCGUUCCCUGGGCCUGAUUAUGUUUUCAUGAUAGGCCUUUGCACUGCUUUAACUGCAAGAGCUCUUUCAGUAAAUGAGUAUCAGACCUCCAUGCUAGUGAAACGCAAGGCUUGCCAAAUUUGUCGGGAGCCUCUGUGGCACUCUCCAUCCACUCAUCUUGACAAAGAAGUGGUGGAAGCAAACUCAGUAGUUUCAAAUGGCGUCUGUUUUCUUCUCUUCUGGAAUGGUACCUGGAUGCUGCCAGUUUGGAGGCAAGUCAGUGCCAAGGCUCUACGUGGAGCUCUUCCUCGCCCUCCUUCACAAACAGCCAAGAAACAAUCAGAAACCGCUUCAUAAUAGGGCCAGGGUGAAAGGUGAGAACUGGAGUAGUCUGAAAGCCUGCUGCCAGACCUGAGGAAGAUAGUGUCAUUUUGGUAAACCUGUCAAGCUGUUGUAAGAACUUCCUGAAUGCUUCCUACCAUCUGCUUUUGAUGCUUUCAAGACUUGGCUGGAAGCCUGGAGGUUUUCCUGCUCCUUCCUGCCCAACCUAUAAUGGAUGGCCUUGUGCCCUGAAUCAUCUCUCCUGGGGCGGUCAGAGUUCCUCUGAUGUUGAACAAGUGCCGGGUGUUUCAAUUGUGUUCAUGCUCUUGAGAGGAAGGGUCUGGCCUCCACGACACAUUCCUUCUUCACACUCACAUCAACACAAAGUUUAACUUUGUGUACAGGGCUCUCAAUGGAACGGCCACACAAAGCACAUCUCCAACGACUCCGUCAGACUGCACGCUGCGCCGCUGGGCUCAGUGAAUAUUGAUGGAUAUAAAUUGUAGGGUCUGAGAUAAAUGUCGUGAAGGACAAUGAGUUCAAAGAACAGAUUAAAAAACAAUAAAUUGAAUUCCAAGGCGUUCCCUCCUGUACUAAUCUGUGUAGGUUCCUGUGUUUUUGGAAAGCAUGUUGCUUAUCUUCCUCAUCAGUAGGCCCACAGCAUUCCGGUAUUUUGGAUCAAUGCCAUUUGUAAUAAUCUAGAUCAGUUUUUAUUCAACGUUUAUAAAACAGGCCAUGUAUCACAGGGUAUAUUUUAUAGCAGAUGGUAUCUUCAAUUCAUUUAACCCCCCCCCUUCACUUCCCUCCUCCAAUAUCACAGUGCAUACUUAUAAGAGCUCUUCAAAGUAGAGCUGAGCAGAAUUCUCUUCAACAAAUAGUAAAUUUGCUGAAAAAUGGCAUUUCCAAGCAACAAAACUGUUAAACUGUGGCACAGUGAAAAAUGAGAUGUUUUGACUUCUAGAAAAAAUGGGUCUUGCAAUUUAAACAUUUUUGGGGAAAAGAAGUGGGGUGAGGAGUUGUUUUCAGAAAUAAUUUCUAUUAAAAAAGAAGGUGAUGAACUCCAGGGUUAAAUAGCCAGAACACAAAUGUUUGUUUCAGGUCAAGUUACAUUUUCUGAGUUAUCCCAGUGUCAACUGUUUUGGGGUCUUCUGUGUGGUUUUAAUUCGAAGAGAUUCUCUUUUGGCUUGAUGAGGACUAAUUUUUCCCAAGGAUUAUUAAUUUGGGGACUCUGUCCAUGAGACCCAGUAUUCGCCAGACUUUACUCAAAACACAGCUCUUCAAGGAAGUUUCCUUGGGAAAGCCCUUUGGGGCUAUUUCACCAUAGCCCUAAGGCUCAUUUCAAUAAAAUGGGCUAUUCUAACAUGCAGAGAUAACCACAUGCUUAAGCACUUUGCUGGUUCACAACAGUUUAUUAGCUUUCAGGAUCAAUGAUGUACACCUUACAACCACUCCCUUACUUGAGAUCGUAAUGGAAGAGGUUGAAAAUCUUCUGAGAUUCACAUACCAAACAGUCAUAAAAUAUAUUUAUUCAUAUCUGCUUGGGAAUACCUCAUUGUAAUUUUGCAGACCAUGAUUUAUACAACUCUGGGGAUGCACAUGUAGCUGACAAAAGUAAAUAGGUAAAAAUAUUUUAGUUCAGUGAUAACAGAACCAAAUCAUGGACUUUUUUAUGUUGUAGCUUAGCUUUACUCAUGCAUCCUAGAAGCCAUGGCAAGUAAACUCAUCUUAGUUUACCUUGCAAAAGACGUUAAUCAUACCUGCGUUUCUCAGAAACCUGAAUUUGUAGUCGACAACAACUCUGGUUUCAGGAUUAUAGAAUCCAUCACCACAGUCGUAACAGCCUUUGGGGAUUUCUGGGGGAGGAUCCAGAUUUGUAAGCUGAGAAAUAUCUGGAAAAAGUAAAAAGAAGAAGAAAGGGUUUGCUUUAUUCUGCUUUUAUUUUUCCCCUUCCUUUUUCAUUUGUGCCUUUUGGUCAAGAUAACCAACACUGAUCUCUGCGCCAUUUGCUGCAACAAUUAUGCAGUCACCUUACAAUAACCUUUAGAAAACAUUUUGCCAAUUUUGCAUAGGGAGAAAAUAAAGAUGGAAAACUGCAUGCAGCAAAAGUGCGUGAUAAAAUGGUAUCACUAAGCUAACAGCAACAGAUAUGACCCCAAACUCCAAACCGGGGCCAGGAGAGUUGUGCUGGCCGCAGAGAACUACAUGUAAUCACUAAAAUAUUCUAUGUAUAAGGAAGAGUAUUUUAUGCAUUACGUUACAAAUUUUACUCACUUGGUCCUUAUAAAUCUCUUCACCUUCUGACUACAGAAAGAUAGUAAUAUUCUGAGUGUCUUUGGCAAAAAAUAGACUGUACAGAAAUGCUGAUUUUGGUAUCUACUAUACAGCUACGUGGGACAGAUGCAUUCAAGCUUUAUUUGAUGUCCUGGAUGUGAACUAGGUGCUUUUGUUCAACUUGUCUGUAUUGAAAACCCACUGCUAAUACAGUGAAGGUGAAAUGUAUAAAGGGGUUAAUAGAUGUAGAUAACAAAGCCCUGUCCUGUGGGUCAUUGCUGCAGAGGAGACCACGCUGCGGGCGCAGUGCUGCAUCCUGCACCGCAUGGAAGGUUCUGGCAGCGUCAUACAGUCGGGUCCUGAAAUUAGCCAGAGCGUUUCUGCUCCAUGUUACUCAUGUAGCCGAAUUAAUCUUUCUUAAGCAAAGUUGUUAGUUUAAUUCCUUCCAGACUCUUAGGAUCGCAAACGCAACUCAGUACCUGGUUCUAUGAGACCAGAGCAGAUUUCUGUGUAAAAUCUUCUGUCGUAGCCAUCACAGUAAUGCCAUUUUUUAUCUCUGUAUUCGAGACCAUCUGCAAAAGUGUAUUUCCCCUGCAAAACACGUUCAAGCACUGAGUUAAUAAACAUGAUGGAUGGAUGGAGCACAAACAC
Long non-coding RNA from Pezoporus occidentalis (night parrot), 5809 nucleotides. RefSeq lists it as uncharacterized. Lineage: Eukaryota; Metazoa; Chordata; Aves; Psittaciformes; Psittacidae. The transcript is spliced from 2 exons. The record is from RefSeq and is a predicted model, not a curated record.